GACGAACGCUGGCGGCGUGCUUAACACAUGCAAGUCGAACGGAAAUGCCCUGCUUUUGUGGGGUGCUCGAGUGGCGAACGGGUGAGUAACACGUGAGUAACCUGCCCUUGACUUUGGGAUAACUUCAGGAAACUUGGGCUAAUACCGGAUAGUAGCUCCUGCUGCAUGGUGGGGGUUGGAAAGUUUCGGCGGUUGGGGAUGGACUCGCGGCUUAUCAGCUUGUUGGUGGGGUAGUGGCUUACCAAGGCUUUGACGGGUAGCCGGCCUGAGAGGGUGACCGGCCAAAUUGGGACUGAGAUACGGCCCAGACUCCUACGGGAGGCAGCAGUGGGGAAUAUUGCACAAUGGGCGGAAGCCUGAUGCAGCAACGCCGCGUGCGGGAUGACGGCCUUCGGGUUGUAAACCGCUUUCGCCUGUGACGAAGAGUGAGUGAAGGUAAUGGGUAAAGAAGCACCGGCUAACUACGUG
This 468-nucleotide ribosomal RNA is filed under the name uncultured bacterium. RNAcentral describes it as "partial 16S ribosomal RNA". It matches the Rfam family "Bacterial small subunit ribosomal RNA", at positions 28 to 507 of the family's 1533-position model. The record is from RNAcentral.